This 319-nucleotide ribosomal RNA is filed under the name uncultured Prevotella sp. RNAcentral's name for it is "partial 16S ribosomal RNA". The record is from RNAcentral. Lineage: Bacteria; Pseudomonadati; Bacteroidota; Bacteroidia; Bacteroidales; Prevotellaceae.
GGAGUUUGGACCGUGUCUCAGUUCCAAUGUGGGGGACCUUCCUCUCAGAACCCCUACUGAUCGUCGGCCAGGUGGGCCGUUACCCCGCCUGCAACCUAAUCAGACGCAUCCCCAUCCCCUACCGCAGAGCUUUAUUCACCGUCAGAUGCCAUCUAGUGAAACUAUCAGGAGUUAAUCCGGUUUUCACCGGGCUAUGCCUGAGUAGGGGGAAGGUUGGAUACGCGUUACUCACCCGUGCGCCGGUCGCCAUCAAAAUCAGCAAGCUGAUCUCAUGCUGCCCCUCGACUUGCAUGUGUUAAGCCUGUAGCUAGCGUUCAUC